AGACCCGAAACCCGGUGAUCUAGCCAUGGGCAGGUUGAAGGUUGGGUAACACUAACUGGAGGACCGAACCGACUAAUGUUGAAAAAUUAGCGGAUGACCUGUGGCUGGGGGUGAAAGGCCAAUCAAACCGGGAGAUAGCUGGUUCUCCCCGAAAGCUAUUUAGGUAGCGCCUCGUGAAUUCAUCUCCGGGGGUAGAGCACUGUUUCGGCUAGGGGGCCAUCCCGGCUUACCAACCCGAUGCAAACUGCGAAUACCGGAGAAUGUUAUCACGGGAGACACACGGCGGGUGCUAACGUCCGUCGUGAAGAGGGAAACAACCCAGACCGCCAGCUAAGGUCCCAAAGUCAUGGUUAAGUGGGAAACGAUGUGGGAAGGCCCAGACAGCCAGGAUGUUGGCUUAGAAGCAGCCAUCAUUUAAAGAAAGCGUAAUAGCUCACUGGUCGAGUCGGCCUGCGCGGAAGAUGUAACGGGGCUAAACCAUGCACCGAAGCUGCGGCAGCGAACGUAUCACCCAAGACAACUUUACGGAGUUGACGAUUGACGGAGCGAAGCGACGUCAAAGCGUUCAUUAAAGUCGAGUUGGCUUAGGGAUACGUUCGUUGGGUAGGGGAGCG
This 614-nucleotide ribosomal RNA is filed under the name Salmonella enterica. RNAcentral describes it as "partial 23S ribosomal RNA". It matches the Rfam family "Bacterial large subunit ribosomal RNA", at positions 711 to 1238 of the family's 2925-position model. The record is from RNAcentral. Lineage: Bacteria; Pseudomonadati; Pseudomonadota; Gammaproteobacteria; Enterobacterales; Enterobacteriaceae. RNAcentral also lists the same sequence under 2 other names.